This 348-nucleotide ribosomal RNA is filed under the name Candidatus Aenigmarchaeota archaeon ex4484_14. RNAcentral's name for it is "bacterial SSU rRNA". It matches the Rfam family "Archaeal small subunit ribosomal RNA", at positions 1 to 349 of the family's 1478-position model. The record is from RNAcentral. Lineage: Archaea; Nanobdellati; Candidatus Aenigmatarchaeota.
CAAUUCCGGUUGAUCCCGCCGGAGAUCACUGCUAUCAGAAUCCGACUUAGACAUGCGAGGUUUAUGGUCUUCGGACCAUGCCGAACUGCUCAGUAACACGUAGUUAACCUACCCUCAGGACGGGGAUAACCUCGGGAAACUGAGGAUAAUACCCGAUAGGCAAAAGAUACUGGAAGGUUCUUUUGCCCAAAGCUUCGGCGCCUGAGGAUGGGACUGCGGCGGAUUAGCUUGUUGUUGGGGUAACUGCCCAACAAGGCUAUAAUCCGUACGGGUCGUGAGAGCGAUAGCCCGGAGAUGGAUUCUGAGACAUGAAUCCAGGCUCUACGGAGCGCAGCAGUUACGAAACCU